UCUGAACACUAACCAGCCCUGUAACUGGUCCCCACCUCCCACACACUUUUCAUCACCCACUUGCACACAACAUCUGGGGCCUCUAUUUCCACCCUACUAUCCUGUGAGCUUACUGCCCAGAUUCCGUGUCCAACGAUACUCAGAGAGCCGGUAUCCUCAGGAGUGAAUUUGCUGAGCCCAAAUUGCUGAGGGCCUGGAUAUCUAAAGACAUGGAAUGUUCCUUCUGCAGGAUGCACUAUGGGGAAUCCAGGAAUACCUGCUAGAGACCAGGCAUGCAGGAAACCUGGACAUUUCUGUGGCAAAGAACCCAAGAGAUGCUGACACCAACUUUCUUCUUGACAGAGGGAAGCACACAGCUCUGGGGGCCUUCUAGAGUCACGGCCCUCGCUCACCAGGAGAUUAACCCGUCAGGCUGUCGAGUGAGAAGGGACGGAGCAGACCCUGACAGGAGGCCCGCAAUGCAGGGGAAAUCAAAACAAAUCCACCUGCUCAGGGAAGACUUUUUCGACACCUCGUCCCCCUACGGACAUCUGUGGCAAGUGUCAUCGCGACCACUGGUGUGGCACUGGAUCAUUUAUGACUGCCUCAUGACAUUAUUUUUCACUGUUGUCUUUGUAUUGUUGUUUGACGACUUUGUGUGAUGGUCUCUUCUCACUCCACAAAUAAACUGCAGCACCUGGCAGGCGGGGAGCAGCUUGAGCACGUGUCUGUUCUA
This is a long non-coding RNA of Prionailurus viverrinus (fishing cat), 715 nucleotides long. RefSeq lists it as uncharacterized. The transcript is spliced from 4 exons. NCBI's taxonomy places the organism in Eukaryota, Metazoa, Chordata, Mammalia, Carnivora, Felidae. The record is from RefSeq and is a predicted model, not a curated record.